AGCGAACGCUGGCGGCAGGCUUAACACAUGCAAGUCGAACGGGCGUAGCAAUACGUCAGUGGCAGACGGGUGAGUAACGCGUGGGAACGUACCUUUUGGUUCGGAACAACCCAGGGAAACUUGGGCUAAUACCGGAUAAGCCCUUACGGGGAAAGAUUUAUCGCCGAAAGAUCGGCCCGCGUCUGAUUAGCUAGUUGGUGAGGUAACGGCUCACCAAGGCGACGAUCAGUAGCUGGUCUGAGAGGAUGAUCAGCCACAUUGGGACUGAGACACGGCCCAAACUCCUACGGGAGGCAGCAGUGGGGAAUAUUGGACAAUGGGCGCAAGCCUGAUCCAGCCAUGCCGCGUGAGUGAUGAAGGCCCUAGGGUUGUAAAGCUCUUUGUGCGGGAAGAUAAUGACGGUACCGCAAGAAUAAGCCCCGGCUAACUUC
This 431-nucleotide ribosomal RNA is filed under the name uncultured bacterium. RNAcentral describes it as "bacterial SSU rRNA". It matches the Rfam family "Bacterial small subunit ribosomal RNA", at positions 29 to 504 of the family's 1533-position model. The record is from RNAcentral.